CCUACGGGCGGCAGCAGUGAGGAAUAUUGGUCAAUGGACGAGAGUCUGAACCAGCCAAGUAGCGUGAAGGAUGACUGCCCUAUGGGUUGUAAACUUCUUUUAUAAAGGAAUAAAACGAGGCACGUGUGCCUUUUUGCAUGUACUUUAUGAAUAAGGAUCGGCUAACUCCGUGCCAGCAGCCGCGGUAAUACGGAGGAUCCGAGCUUUAUCCGGAUUUAGUGGGUUUAAAGGGAGCGUAGAUGGGUUGUUAAGUCAGUUGUGAAAGUUUGCGGCUCAACCGUAAAAUUGCAAUUGAUACUGGCAGUCUUGAGUACAGUAGAGGUAGGCGGAAUUCGUGGUGUAGCGGUGAAAUGCUUAGAUAUCACGAAGAACCCCGAUUGCGAAGGCAGCUUACUAAACUGUGACUGACAUUGAUGCGCGAAAGUGUGGGUAUCAAACAGGAUUAGAUACCCUGGUAGUC
RNAcentral lists this ribosomal RNA (460 nucleotides) under uncultured bacterium. RNAcentral describes it as "partial 16S ribosomal RNA". It matches the Rfam family "Bacterial small subunit ribosomal RNA", at positions 338 to 795 of the family's 1533-position model. The record is from RNAcentral.